This 393-nucleotide ribosomal RNA is filed under the name uncultured bacterium. Its description in RNAcentral is "partial 16S ribosomal RNA". It matches the Rfam family "Bacterial small subunit ribosomal RNA", at positions 523 to 918 of the family's 1533-position model. The record is from RNAcentral.
AUACGGAGGACGCGAGCGUUAUCCGGAUUCAUUGGGUUUAAAGGGUGCGCAGGCGGCCGUGCAAGUCAGCGGUGAAAGCCCGGGGCUCAACCCCGGAAGUGCCGUUGAUACUGCAUGGCUGGAAUGCGGUCGAGGCGGGCGGAACGGGGCGUGUAGCGGUGAAAUGCGUAGAUAUGCCACAGAACGCCGAUAGCGGAGGCAGCUCGCCAGGCCUGCAUUGACGCUCGGGCACGAAAGCGUGGGGAUCGAACAGGAUUAGAUACCCUGGUAGUCCACGCCGUAAACGAUGGGCGCUCGUCGUCGGCGGCAGACAGUCGGCGGCCAAGCGAAAGCGAUAAGCGCCCCACCUGGGGAGUACGGUCGCAAGGCUGAAACUCAAAUGAAUUGACGGGG